RNAcentral lists this transfer RNA (72 nucleotides) under Phrynosoma platyrhinos (Desert horned lizard). Its description in RNAcentral is "tRNA-OTHER". Lineage: Eukaryota; Metazoa; Chordata; Lepidosauria; Squamata; Phrynosomatidae. The record is from RNAcentral.
UACCCAAUGGUGUAGUGGUUUGAACAUGGGAUUACAACUCUGAAGACCAGGGUUCAAUUCCCUGCUUGGUCA